Oncorhynchus tshawytscha (Chinook salmon) is the source of this 910-nucleotide long non-coding RNA. Lineage: Eukaryota; Metazoa; Chordata; Actinopteri; Salmoniformes; Salmonidae. The record is from Ensembl.
CAAUUUCAUGAGAAGCUGUAUUUAACAACAAGAAAAACAUGUUCUUACCUUCUACAAAUUAUAAACAGAUUUUUGUCUCCCCCCUCGGGAUGCUCAGUCCCUCAGUUGGUGUCUAAAAAACUAACAGCUACUAGAACACUUCUACCAAUGAGGUAACCUUAAGGAUUCCACCUAGAAUGUUCUAGAACACUUCUAUCAAUGAGGUCACCUUAAGGGUUCCACCUAGAAUGUUCUAGAACAUGUCUGUCAAUGAGGUCACCUCAAGGGAUUUCCAGAUCAAGCUAGCACCUUUUAAUAUACUUCAUUAACAUCAACUUCUUAAAACAUACAUUUUUCAAACCAUCUUUACUCAAUUCUAAUCUUAAUACAACCUAAUUUAUUACUCCAGUUAUAUCUUAAUAAUUCAAUAUUUUAAACAUUAUAACAUUUGACCAUUAUAACGUCUCGUUAUCAACCUCCUAAGGCCUUGUCCUCUAAGCAGAAUGAAACACAGUCUAUAUGAUUCACAACUUAAAGAAAACUACAUUAUAACUCUCCUCACCUGCAUUAUUUUAACACCUUUAAUAUCUCCCAACGUUUUCAACCUUUAACAUUUAAUAUGUUUAACCUUUAAUUAGUAUUUCAAUAAAUUCCAGUCCCAAUUCAUUUCUUCUUCUCUUUAUCAGUGUCAAUUCAUUUCUUCUUCUCUUUAGUCAGUGUCAAUUCAUUUCUUCUUCUCUUUCGUCAGUGUCAAUUCAUUUCUUCUUCUCUUUCGUCAGUGUCAAUUCAUUUCUUCUUCUCUUUAGUCAGUGUCAAUUCAUUUCUUCUCUUUAGUCAGUGUCAAUUCAUUUCUUCUUCUCUUUAGUCAGUGUCAAUUCAUUUCUUCUUCACUUUAGUCAGUGUCAAUUCAUUUCUUCUUCUCUUUAGUCAG